RNAcentral lists this ribosomal RNA (395 nucleotides) under uncultured bacterium. RNAcentral's name for it is "bacterial SSU rRNA". It matches the Rfam family "Bacterial small subunit ribosomal RNA", at positions 505 to 898 of the family's 1533-position model. The record is from RNAcentral.
GUGUCAGCAGCCGCGGUAAGACGAACCGUGCGAACGUUAUUCGGAAUCAUUGGGCUUAAAGCGCGUGUAGGCGGAUGGGAACGUCGAUGUUGAAAGCCCCCGGCUCAACCGGGGAACUGGCGUCGAAACGACCCGUCUGGAGGGGCAUAGGGGGAGCUGGAACUUCCGGUGGAGCGGUGAAAUGCGUUGAGAUCGGAAGGAACGCCCGUGGCGAAAGCGAGCUCCUGGAUGUCUUCUGACGCUGAGACGCGAAAGCUAGGGUAGCGAACGGGAUUAGAUACCCCGGUAGUCCUAGCCGUAAACGAUGGGCACUGGGUAGGGGGCUCGCCGAUGGGCUCCCUGCCGUAGGGAAACCGUGAAGUGCCCCGCCUGGGGAGUAUGGUCGCAAGGCUGAA